GGACCCGCACAAGUAGUGGAGCAUGUGGUUUAAUUCGAAGAUACGCGCAGAACCUUACCAACACUUGACAUGUUCGUCGCGACUUUAAGAGAUUAAAGUUUUCGGUUCGGCCGGACGAAACACAGGUGCUGCAUGGCUGUCGUCAGCUCGUGUCGUGAGAUGUUGGUUAAGUCCCGCAACGAGCGCAACCCUCAUUUUUAGUUGCCAUCAUUAAGUUGGGCACUCUGAAAAAAGCUGCCAGUGAUAAGCUGGAGGAAGGUGGGGAUGACGUCAAGUCCUCAUGGCCCUUACGUGUUGGGCUACACACGUGCUACAAUGGUGGUGACAGUGGGCAGCAAUACUGCAAAGUAAAG
This 353-nucleotide ribosomal RNA is filed under the name uncultured bacterium. Its description in RNAcentral is "bacterial SSU rRNA". It matches the Rfam family "Bacterial small subunit ribosomal RNA", at positions 917 to 1267 of the family's 1533-position model. The record is from RNAcentral.